Bombus terrestris (buff-tailed bumblebee) is the source of this 777-nucleotide long non-coding RNA. RefSeq lists it as uncharacterized. The record is from RefSeq and is a predicted model, not a curated record. NCBI's taxonomy places the organism in Eukaryota, Metazoa, Arthropoda, Insecta, Hymenoptera, Apidae. The transcript has 2 exons.
AUAUAUAUAUUCGUUUGUACUACGAUUACUCUCAUACUCUAUGUAUGGUAUUAUCAUAUCGACGCUAUCAGUUCUUACAGUAUCACGAUCAGAGUCAAUUUUAGAAUAGAAGAAGCGAUUAACGGCGGAUCGCAAAGUAAGAAGCUUAUAACAUAAUUGGCAAGGAAGUCGGUAAAUCGAUCAAUCAAUCACCUACAUCCAACCGUCUAACGAAAGAUGAAAAGCCAUCGCGAUAACGAUCCUUCUCACCUGCAGGAUUUUCCGGAUUCACAGACACGAAGCUCGAAUUAUUCCUCAUCGACCACCACUUUUCGUUUUUCGGCUGAAACAUCACAUGCUGGCCAUUCGUCAGCGGCUGAACGAAGAACGAUCUCUGCCCGAUCGACAUCAAGGCGUACACUUCUUCUUUGCAUAUCGUCACGACGACGAAGGAACUCGCGUCUCCUUCCAAGCUGCCUUGUCGAAGAUCGCAGUUCGCCUUGGCGUUACGUCGCUCGGACUUGGUUUUACCCUGGCGCACCCAAUUCACGGUGAAAUUCGACGACAGUAUCAAUCGAUCGUUGGCCAUGGUCCUUAAGGUCCAGUUGCUGAUCUCGAGGAACACCGGCUCUUGGUGGAGAUACUCGCGCCAAGUUUCUCGGUCUUCGUGGGUCGAUCUUCUGUUCCGCGCGCUCUCAUUCGGGAUCACACGAGGGUAAACGAUCUCGUACUCCUGCAAGCUUUGCAGAAAGUCGCUCAUUCGCGACUUAGUAGCGAUCGUGCCGAGCAGCCACGUGG